RNAcentral lists this transfer RNA (82 nucleotides) under Echinostoma caproni. It matches the Rfam family "tRNA". From Rfam's summary of the family: Transfer RNA (tRNA) molecules are approximately 80 nucleotides in length. Their secondary structure includes four short double-helical elements and three loops (D, anti-codon, and T loops). Further hydrogen bonds mediate the characteristic L-shaped molecular structure. tRNAs have two regions of fundamental functional importance: the anti-codon, which is responsible for specific mRNA codon recognition, and the 3' end, to which the tRNAs corresponding amino acid is attached (by aminoacyl-tRNA synthetases). tRNAs cope with the degeneracy of the genetic code in two manners: having more than one tRNA (with a specific anti-codon) for a particular amino acid; and 'wobble' base-pairing, i.e. permitting non-standard base-pairing at the 3rd anti-codon position. Lineage: Eukaryota; Metazoa; Platyhelminthes; Trematoda; Plagiorchiida; Echinostomatidae. The record is from Rfam by way of RNAcentral.
GGCCUCGAAGCUCAGCUGGCAGAGCAUGCGCGUACAAAGCGUAGGCGGUGUCCAUGCGUGGGUUUGAAUCCUACCGUGGCUU